AGGAAAUCUGCCCGAGAGCACAGACAAGAAGCUGGCUCCGCCGCGUGCUCCUGUGACUGUACACUAAGUGCUCUGCAAACUGGUCUGUGGACCCUAAAGCACCUAAAUCAUCCGUGUGCAUUUGCUAAACACGCAACUCACUGGGCCCCACUCCCAUGUGUUCUGAUUUUGCGAGCUCAGAUCUGUGGAAGUGACUUAAGCAAAUGCCCCAGUCCUGCCAGCACAGAGGGCCGACUGCCACGGACCAGGUGGCUUGAACAACAGAAAUCUAUCGUCUCACAGUUUGGGAGCCUGGAAGUCCAAGAUCAAGGUGUUUCAGCGGGAUUGGUUCCUUUGAGGGCUGUGAGGGAGAGUCCAGUCCCUGCCCUCGCCUGGCUCACGGUGGUUUGCUGACAGCCCUCCUGCGCCCUGGCUUGUAGGAGCGUCACCGCCCUCUCUGCAUCAAUCAUAUAAUGCUCUUCCUGCGUGGCUUACAUUUCUAUGGAACCUCGAUACUCUACAAUCCCAGAAACAACUUGGCGAUGUCUGCUCCCCAGCCCCCCGCCCCCGCUCAACCACAGAGACACCCCGAGGACUGUUUGUCCCAAGAAGCUCUAAGGCAACCAUUCGAAAAGGUUGUUGCAACGAAUGAGAAAGAUUCUGCAACGACAGGAUGGGACGGGCCGGAGAGGCAAAGCUGUGCAAUUAUGUCCCCACUGUGGCUCCGAGCAGAAGCCCUGUGACUUGCAAUACGGCACGAGCCGCAGUGGCUGCGUCGGCCGAGCUCCUUAUAAAUGGCAAUCGCUGUGUCACAUCCUCACCUUUCUUAUCUCUGAUUGCAGCAACCUCAGCAUGGACUAAAAAUCACUAUCUCUCUGUGACAGAAGAGGAAACGAGAGCUUGGGUGGGACCAGCCCUCCUUUGAAACCAGCCUAUGUUUCAAAUUUGGGAAGGGACAGAGCUGAAUUUGGCUGAUGGGUCCCACGUACCAUUCAGGUCCACACUCACCACUGCUCUGGAAGGCGACUGCUACCUGUCACAUUCAUCUCCCCACGACCCAUAGUACUCGCCGAGGACCUGCUGCUUUCUCCUAAAAGCUCCGCACUCCCCUCCUGCCCCAUCUGUGCCCAGAGCUGAUGCCCUUGCCUCCUAAUCCACCACGCACACCCCCUGCCUGCUCCUGCACGACUGUUCCCUGCUUUCACAUCAAUGACCAGAAAACAAGUGUCCUGCCCAAGACCUACCCUCUGCUGGCCCUCCGAGACUCACUCCGUCAUCAACUUAAGGAGUUCUCUUCUUCACUUACCCCUUCUCUCCUGCAGCGUUAAUAUAACCUUUUAUAUUCUGUCAUUUCCAUCAGUCCCCAGUAUGCUCUAAAACCUUAUGUUUUUUUAAAGAAAUCAUUCUUUAACUCCACGUCCUUCUUCAACCCACUCCAAAGUCCUGACUGUAUCCUCCAGCCGGCCGAGCGUGGCCGAGUCCGGUCCCCCAGCCCCAGGGAUGCUUCUCACC
Molecule: non-coding RNA, 1491 nt
Organism: Microcebus murinus (gray mouse lemur)
Lineage: Eukaryota; Metazoa; Chordata; Mammalia; Primates; Cheirogaleidae
Source: RefSeq, a predicted model, not a curated record